This 397-nucleotide ribosomal RNA is filed under the name uncultured Pseudomonas sp. RNAcentral describes it as "bacterial SSU rRNA". It matches the Rfam family "Bacterial small subunit ribosomal RNA", at positions 986 to 1382 of the family's 1533-position model. Lineage: Bacteria; Pseudomonadati; Pseudomonadota; Gammaproteobacteria; Pseudomonadales; Pseudomonadaceae. The record is from RNAcentral.
AUGCAGAGAACUUCCAGAGAUGGAUUGGUGCCUUCGGGAACUCUGACACAGGUGCUGCAUGGCUGUCGUCAGCUCGUGUCGUGAGAUGUUGGGUUAAGUCCCGUAACGAGCGCAACCCUUGUCCUUAGUUACCAGCACGUUAUGGUGGGCACUCUAAGGAGACUGCCGGUGACAAACCGGAGGAAGGUGGGGAUGACGUCAAGUCAUCCAUGGCCCUUACGGCCUGGGCUACACACGUGCUACAAUGGUCGGUACAAAGGGUUGCCAAGCCGCGAGGUGGAGCUAAUCCCAUAAAACCGAUCGUAGUCCGGAUCGCAGUCUGCAACUCGACUGCGUGAAGUCGGAAUCGCUAGUAAUCGUGAAUCAGAAUGUCACGGUGAAUACGUUCCCGGGCCUU